GCCUUGGUGGUUCAGUAGUAGAAUUCUCGCCUUCCAUGAGGGUGACUUGGGUUCAAUUCCCAGCCAGUGCA
This 71-nucleotide transfer RNA is filed under the name Loxodonta africana (African savanna elephant). It matches the Rfam family "tRNA". Rfam says of the family: Transfer RNA (tRNA) molecules are approximately 80 nucleotides in length. Their secondary structure includes four short double-helical elements and three loops (D, anti-codon, and T loops). The record is from Rfam by way of RNAcentral. Lineage: Eukaryota; Metazoa; Chordata; Mammalia; Proboscidea; Elephantidae.